UAGGGAAUCUUCCGCAAUGGGCGAAAGCCUGACGGAGCAACGCCGCGUGAGUGAUGAAGGUCUUCGGAUCGUAAGACUCUGUUAUUAGGGAAGAACAAAUGUGUAAGUAACUAUGCACGUCUUGACGGUACCUAAUCAGAAAGCCACGGCUAACUACGUGCCAGCAGCCGCGGUAAUACGUAGGUGGCAAGCGUUAUCCGGAAUUAUUGGGCGUAAAGCGCGCGUAGGCGGUUUUUUAAGUCUGAUGUGAAAGCCCACGGCUCAACCGUGGAGGGUCAUUGGAAACUGGAAAACUUGAGUGCAGAAGAGGAAAGUGGAAUUCCAUGUGUAGCGGUGAAAUGCGCAGAGAUAUGGAGGAACACCAGUGGCGAAGGCGACUUUCUGGUCUGUAACUGACGCUGAUGUGCGAAAGCGUGGGGAUCAAACAGG
This 429-nucleotide ribosomal RNA is filed under the name Actinomycetes bacterium. RNAcentral describes it as "Actinobacteria bacterium partial 16S ribosomal RNA". It matches the Rfam family "Bacterial small subunit ribosomal RNA", at positions 355 to 776 of the family's 1533-position model. Lineage: Bacteria; Bacillati; Actinomycetota; Actinomycetes. The record is from RNAcentral.